AUGGGCUCUUAUCUAAGCACUGCAGUCAGUAAGGCUCGAUCCAUGGAUUCAGACGAGGUACAUGGAUCAGUUUCAAACAAAAGGGCCAAGAUAACCCCAUAUGACUGUGGGUCAUAUUCGAGGAUAAUUCCGACUCUUCCUGAUGAGCUUUCAUUUCAAAUUCUAGCAAGGUUACCACGGAUUCAUUACCUAAAGAUGAAGUUGGUUAGCCAAACUUGGAAGGCGGCAAUCACCGGCGCUGAGCUUGCCCAGCUGAGAAAAGAGCUUGGGUUAACUGAAGAAUGGUUGUAUAUACUGACCAGAGUUGAGGCAAAUAAGCUUGAAUGCUAUGCACUCGAUCCAUUGUUCCAGAAAUGGCAAAGGCUGCCAUCCAUGCCUUCAUUCGCCAAUGAGGCGGACUCCACUGGGAGGACGCAGUAUUCUGUGUUUCGGAUGUGGAAUGUAGUGGGCUCAAGCAUCAGGAUUGCUGAUUUCUUUAGGGGAUGGUUUUGGCGCCGAUAUGGUUUGGAUCAAAUGCCUUUUUGUGGGUGCUCUGUCGGAGUUGCUGAUGGUUGCUUGUAUGUCUUAGGGGGUUUUUCCAAAGCUGUUGCCUUGAAUUGCGUGUGGAGGUAUGACCCUUGUGUCAAUUUGUGGCAGGAAGUUAACCCGAUGAUAUCUGGUAGGGCUUUCUCUAAGGCAUCAUUAUUGGAGAGUAAGUUGUAUGUGGUUGGUGGUGUUAGUAGGGGUCGGAACGGAUUGCUUCCUCUACGGUCGGGUGAAGUGUUUGAUCCGAAAACUGGUUUAUGGAGUGAGUUGCCGGAAAUGCCUUUCGUGAAAGCACAGGUACUACCGACAGCUUUCUUGGCCGAUGUGCUGAAGCCUAUCGCCACUGGGAUGGCAUCCUAUAACGGAAAGCUCUAUGUUCCUCAGAGCCUGUACUCAUGGCCAUUCUUUUUUGAUAUUGGAGGUGAAAUCUAUGACUCAGAAUUAAACUCUUGGUCAACUAUGCCAGACGGUCUUGGCGAUGGAUGGCCAGCAAGGCAAGCAGGCACAAAAUUAGGUGUUGUAGUCAAUGAUGAGCUUUAUACAUUGGAGCCUUCCAGCUCCUUGGACAGUGGACAGAUAAAAAGGUAUGAUGCUGAAGAAGAUGUCUGGAGAACUAUGGUACCACACGUUCCAGUUCAUGAUUUCACUGAUGCGGAGUCUCCUUAUUUACUCGCUGGCCUUCAUGGGAAGCUCCAUGUUAUUACAAAAGAGGCAAACAAUAAUCUUCAAGUUAUGCAAGCUGUAUUGGAGAAUAACACGGGAAACGAUGCACCUGAAGAAAACGUCUUAUGGAACAUAGUAGCCUCGAAGAACUUUGGGGCUGCUGAGCUUAUUAGCUGUCAGGUUCUCAAUGUUUAA
This 1383-nucleotide ribosomal RNA is filed under the name Triticum aestivum (bread wheat). RNAcentral's name for it is "partial small subunit ribosomal RNA". Lineage: Eukaryota; Viridiplantae; Streptophyta; Magnoliopsida; Poales; Poaceae. The record is from RNAcentral.